GUGUCAGCCGCCGCGGUAAUACCAGCUCUCCGAGUGGUGUGGAUGUUUAUUGGGCCUAAAGCAUCCGUAGCUGGCUAAGUUAGUCCCUUGUUAAAUCCACCGAAUUAAUCGUUGGAUUGCGGGGGAUACUGCUUGGCUAGGGGACGAGAGAGGCAGACGGUAUUUUCGGGGUAGGGGUGAAAUCCUAUAAUCCCGGGAAGACCACCAGUGGCGAAGGCUGUCUGCUAGAACGCGCCCGACGGUGAGGGAUGAAAGCUGGGGGAGCGAACCGGAUUAGAUACCCGGGUAGUCC
Molecule: ribosomal RNA, 292 nt
Filed under: uncultured prokaryote
Description: partial 16S ribosomal RNA
Rfam family: Archaeal small subunit ribosomal RNA
Source: RNAcentral